Molecule: ribosomal RNA, 1439 nt
Filed under: Streptococcus thermophilus
Lineage: Bacteria; Bacillati; Bacillota; Bacilli; Lactobacillales; Streptococcaceae
Description: bacterial SSU rRNA
Rfam family: Bacterial small subunit ribosomal RNA
Source: RNAcentral
CUGGCGGCGUGCCUAAUACAUGCAAGUAGAACGCUGAAGAGAGGAGCUUGCUCUUCUUGGAUGAGUUGCGAACGGGUGAGUAACGCGUAGGUAACCUGCCUUGUAGCGGGGGAUAACUAUUGGAAACGAUAGCUAAUACCGCAUAACAAUGGAUGACACAUGUCAUUUAUUUGAAAGGGGCAAUUGCUCCACUACAAGAUGGACCUGCGUUGUAUUAGCUAGUAGGUGAGGUAAUGGCUCACCUAGGCGACGAUACAUAGCCGACCUGAGAGGGUGAUCGGCCACACUGGGACUGAGACACGGCCCAGACUCCUACGGGAGGCAGCAGUAGGGAAUCUUCGGCAAUGGGGGCAACCCUGACCGAGCAACGCCGCGUGAGUGAAGAAGGUUUUCGGAUCGUAAAGCUCUGUUGUAAGUCAAGAACGGGUGUGAGAGUGGAAAGUUCACACUGUGACGGUAGCUUACCAGAAAGGGACGGCUAACUACGUGCCAGCAGCCGCGGUAAUACGUAGGUCCCGAGCGUUGUCCGGAUUUAUUGGGCGUAAAGCGAGCGCAGGCGGUUUGAUAAGUCUGAAGUUAAAGACUGUGGCUCAACCAUAGUUCGCUUUGGAAACUGUCAAACUUGAGUGCAGAAGGGGAGAGUGGAAUUCCAUGUGUAGCGGUGAAAUGCGUAGAUAUAUGGAGGAACACCGGUGGCGAAAGCGGCUCUCUGGUCUGUAACUGACGCUGAGGCUCGAAAGCGUGGGGAGCGAACAGGAUUAGAUACCCUGGUAGUCCACGCCGUAAACGAUGAGUGCUAGGUGUUGGAUCCUUUCCGGGAUUCAGUGCCGCAGCUAACGCAUUAAGCACUCCGCCUGGGGAGUACGACCGCAAGGUUGAAACUCAAAGGAAUUGACGGGGGCCCGCACAAGCGGUGGAGCAUGUGGUUUAAUUCGAAGCAACGCGAAGAACCUUACCAGGUCUUGACAUCCCGAUGCUAUUUCUAGAGAUAGAAAGUUACUUCGGUACAUCGGUGACAGGUGGUGCAUGGUUGUCGUCAGCUCGUGUCGUGAGAUGUUGGGUUAAGUCCCGCAACGAGCGCAACCCCUAUUGUUAGUUGCCAUCAUUCAGUUGGGCACUCUAGCGAGACUGCCGGUAAUAAACCGGAGGAAGGUGGGGAUGACGUCAAAUCAUCAUGCCCCUUAUGACCUGGGCUACACACGUGCUACAAUGGUUGGUACAACGAGUUGCGAGUCGGUGACGGCGAGCUAAUCUCUUAAAGCCAAUCUCAGUUCGGAUUGUAGGCUGCAACUCGCCUACAUGAAGUCGGAAUCGCUAGUAAUCGCGGAUCAGCACGCCGCGGUGAAUACGUUCCCGGGCCUUGUACACACCGCCCGUCACACCACGAGAGUUUGUAACACCCGAAGUCGGUGAGGUAACCUUUUGGAGCCAGCCGCCUA